CCUUUCUUUUCUUCUUUCAGUUGGCGCAUGCGCAGCGGCUACGGACACUACGGACCCCUCAGAAGCUUCGACGUGAUGCGUGUUUUGGGUGUUGUGGAGACCGUGUAUCGCCGGAUGAACUCUCGUGGUGUUUGAGACGCCUGAGUGACAACGAUAGACUGUGUAUGUGACACCUCCGUCCGUCACAGCUGCGAAAUCGGUGCAAAAAGUGCGGGAUAUCUUAACUCGUGGAUGGCACCUGGACGGUGACUUUGUGCAUGUGUUGGCGGUUGGGCGGCCGGGACUGCAUCAGUCUACACACUUCACCUCCGUCAGUUACCAGACAUCUAUGCAACUUUGCUAGAGUGUUGCCCCUCACCUGGUGCAUCAAUACUUCCUACAAUACCUGCAACAUACUGUGUUGUUUCGGGCUCUGCGAGGAAUCCAGCUCAACAUAUUAUUCUCAAAAAAAAGCUCUUGUUUGCUUUGUUGCGUGACACAGCUGUUUGAUCUAUGACCGAUGUGCUGACUUUACCACCAGUGGUAUUCUCCUGCUGAACAGGUGUAAUGCAAAUCUAUGUGCUGCCCCCUAAUUUUACCGAAAUCUUCACCAAAAAAAUGUUUCAUUGAAGUUUUAGCUAUUUAGUUUUCAUGUUUUAAAAAAGAAACUCAUUGUGCUAUCAGAGAAUGUAGCUCAUUCAUGGUAGUGUAUGAGAUGGGAUUUAUGUCGUUCUUGAGAAUUGGUUUCAUAGUUUGUGCAUUUGCGUGUGUUAGUGUCAUUGACGUGAAGACUACACAAAUGGUAGGUUGAAUUGACAAAAUUAGAAUUAUAAUGUUAGGAGACCCAGCAAAAAAAUGAGAGUGUGAUUGGCAACCGGACUCUAGAAUCCGUACAAGAAUAUGUAUGUCUAGGUCAGUUACUAAUACUAAUUAAAAUGAAAUUCACUAGGCUGGAGUGCUUACUAAAAACAUUUCCAAACCAUGACAAGCAAUUUUCCACUGUCCCUAAAGCUGAAGGUGUACAACAAUUGUAUAGUGCCAGUACUAACAUCUGAAGCAGCGGCUUUGCGAGUAACAAGAAAACUCGAGAAAAAGUUGAGAAGCACUAGCUUGUGAUGGAAUGGAAAAUUAUAGGCGUAACAUUAAGAGAUAGGAAGAGAGUGGAGUGGAUAAGAGAACAAACAGGGACAUCAAAAAAGUGAGCCUUGGCAGAUUGCACAAGGAGGACAAAUAACUGAUUGGUCAGUUAGGGGAGUCUGUAUGCGGCAUGUGCAGGUUGUGAACUGUUAUUCGAUAAUUUUAACAAUUUAAAAAAAAAACAUUUUAUACGUGAUCAGCCUCGAGAAAUUCGUAGCAUGGCCUCACUCGUAAACUGUGCAAUCCAGGGCCCUUUUGCCAAAGGACCUUGGCGAGCAAGAAGCAAUGUUUAAUUUACACUGCAAGUAGUCAUUGUAGUCGUAGAUAGGGAUUGUA
This is a long non-coding RNA of Rhipicephalus sanguineus (brown dog tick), 1452 nucleotides long. RefSeq lists it as uncharacterized. The transcript has 3 exons. NCBI's taxonomy places the organism in Eukaryota, Metazoa, Arthropoda, Arachnida, Ixodida, Ixodidae. The record is from RefSeq and is a predicted model, not a curated record.